UAGAACUGUCCUGUGAUAAACCAUUCAAAAG
Molecule: non-coding RNA, 31 nt
Filed under: Mus musculus (house mouse)
Lineage: Eukaryota; Metazoa; Chordata; Mammalia; Rodentia; Muridae
Source: RNAcentral